This is a long non-coding RNA of Clarias gariepinus (North African catfish), 258 nucleotides long. RefSeq lists it as uncharacterized. The record is from RefSeq and is a predicted model, not a curated record. The transcript has 3 exons. NCBI's taxonomy places the organism in Eukaryota, Metazoa, Chordata, Actinopteri, Siluriformes, Clariidae.
UGUGAGCUGGACACUGGUGUUGAGUGUGUGUGCUGUGUGUGUUCUCCUCUCCUCACUCCUCUCCUCCAUCUGUGUGUACUGCCUCUGCACACACACCACUUAAGGUUCUGAAAAGAGAGGAGGAGAGCCGCUCACUGUAAAUGACUUUCAGGUACAUCAGUGUGAGAGGAGUGUAAACGGAGAGUUCUGUUGUCACACUGAAGUCUUUUACACACUUCAGAAACCAACAAUCACAUCAUAUUAAACACACACACACAC